GAGUUUGAUCGUGGCUCAGGAUGAACGCUGGCGGCGUGCCUAAUACAUGCAAGUCGAGCGAACAGACGAGGAGCUUGCUCCUCUGACGUUAGCGGCGGACGGGUGAGUAACACGUGGAUAACCUACCUAUAAGACUGGGAUAACUUCGGGAAACCGGAGCUAAUACCGGAUAAUAUAUUGAACCGCAUGGUUCAAUAGUGAAAGACGGUUUUGCUGUCACUUAUAGAUGGAUCCGCGCCGCAUUAGCUAGUUGGUAAGGUAACGGCUUACCAAGGCAACGAUGCGUAGCCGACCUGAGAGGGUGAUCGGCCACACUGGAACUGAGACACGGUCCAGACUCCUACGGGAGGCAGCAGUAGGGAAUCUUCCGCAAUGGGCGAAAGCCUGACGGAGCAACGCCGCGUGAGUGAUGAAGGUCUUCGGAUCGUAAAACUCUGUUAUUAGGGAAGAACAAAUGUGUAAGUAACUAUGCACGUCUUGACGGUACCUAAUCAGAAAGCCACGGCUAACUACGUGACAG
This 520-nucleotide ribosomal RNA is filed under the name uncultured microorganism. RNAcentral's name for it is "bacterial SSU rRNA". It matches the Rfam family "Bacterial small subunit ribosomal RNA", at positions 9 to 511 of the family's 1533-position model. The record is from RNAcentral.